Molecule: long non-coding RNA, 414 nt
Filed under: Onthophagus taurus
Lineage: Eukaryota; Metazoa; Arthropoda; Insecta; Coleoptera; Scarabaeidae
Description: uncharacterized LOC111419674, transcript variant X2
Source: RNAcentral
GGAAUAAUAAGGAAAAUAAGAAAUGAAAGGAUUUAUGAAGAAAAGGCGUGUAUUGAAGAGGUUUGAAUGGAAAUUAACCUGAAGAUUCCGUGGAUGAUGAAAAAUCGAUUAAAACCAACGUUUGUUAAGAUCUUUUUUUAACCCCGAUAACCAUUAAUCAGAAGAAAAGCAUUCUUGUUUCGGAAUAAUACGGAAAAUACGAAAUAAAAGGAUUUAUCAAGAAAAGGCGCUUAUUGAUGAGAUUUGAAUGGAAAUUAACCUAAGGAUGCUGAAAAGUCGAUUAAAACCAAGAUUCAUCAAGAUUCUUUUUUAACUCCAAUAACAAUCAGAAGAAAAUGGUUUUUGUUUAUAUCUAAUUAGGAAUAAAAGGAUAUAUCAAGGUAAGAAAUAAACAUACAUUCACAAUUAAUUAAA